This 399-nucleotide ribosomal RNA is filed under the name uncultured bacterium. RNAcentral describes it as "bacterial SSU rRNA". It matches the Rfam family "Bacterial small subunit ribosomal RNA", at positions 64 to 507 of the family's 1533-position model. The record is from RNAcentral.
GAGCGGGCGUAGCAAUACGUCAGCGGCAGACGGGUGAGUAACGCGUGGGAACGUACCUUUUGGUUCGGAACAACACAGGGAAACUUGUGCUAAUACCGGAUAAGCCCUUACGGGGAAAGAUUUAUCGCCGAAAGAUCGGCCCGCGUCUGAUUAGCUAGUUGGUAGGGUAAUGGCCUACCAAGGCGACGAUCAGUAGCUGGUCUGAGAGGAUGAUCAGCCACAUUGGGACUGAGACACGGCCCAAACUCCUACGGGAGGCAGCAGUGGGGGAUAUUGGACAAUGGGGGCAACCCUGAUCCAGCCAUGCCGCGUGAGUGAUGAAGGCCCUAGGGUUGUAAAGCUCUUUUGUGCGGGAAGAUAAUGACGGUACCGCAAGAAUAAGCCCCGGCUAACUUCGUG